Molecule: ribosomal RNA, 410 nt
Filed under: uncultured organism
Description: bacterial SSU rRNA
Rfam family: Bacterial small subunit ribosomal RNA
Source: RNAcentral
GCGCACCAGUCGCGAAUUUUCUCAAUGGGCGAAAGCCUGAAGGAGCGACGCCGCGUGGAGGAUGAAGGCCUUCGGGUUGUAAACUCCUGUCAUUUGAGAACAAGUGUCGGCAAGUAACUACUGCCGACUUGAUAGUAUCAGAAGAGGAAGGGACGGCUAACUCUGUGCCAGCAGCCGCGGUAAUACAGAGGUCCCAAGCGUUGUUCGGAUUCAUUGGGCGUAAAGGGUGCGUAGGUGGCGCCAUAAGUCAGGUGUGAAAUUUCGGAGCUUAACUCCCGAAACUGCAUUUGAUACUGUGGUGCUUGAGGACUGGAGAGGAGACUGGAAUUUACGGUGUAGCAGUGAAAUGCGUAGAGAUCGUAAGGAAGACCAGUGGCGGAAGGCGGGUCUCUGGACAGUUCCUGACACUG